AUCCUUUUACAGUUCAUAAGCGCGAAUAUUGGAUGUUCACACUGUUGUGUGGCUUGUGCUUCCCUCAAACCUUGUUGUGACUUCAGCACAUUACCCAUCUGACA
Molecule: small nucleolar RNA, 104 nt
Organism: Suricata suricatta (meerkat)
Lineage: Eukaryota; Metazoa; Chordata; Mammalia; Carnivora; Herpestidae
Source: Ensembl